UUGUAGCCUGCUAUGGUAUAACUUAGUGGCAGACGGGUGAGUAAUAUAUAGGAAUCUACCUAGUAGUACGGAAUAAUUGUUGGAAACGGCAACUAAUACCGUAUACGCCCUACGGGGGAAAAAUUUAUUGCUAUUAGAUGAGCCUAUAUUAGAUUAGCUAGUUGGUGGAGUAAUAGCCUACCAAGGCAAUGAUCUAUAGCUGAUCUGAGAGGAUGAUCAGCCACACUGGAACUGAGAUACGGUCUAGACUCCUACGGGAGGCAGCAGUGGGGAAUAUUGGACAAUGGGCGAAAGCCUGAUCCAGCCAUGCCGCAUGAGUGAAGAAGGCCUUUGGGUUGUAAAGCUCUUUUAGUGAGGAAGAUAAUGACGGUACUCACAGAAGAAGUCCUGGCUAACUCCGUGCCAGCAGCCGCGGUAAUACAGAGAGGGCUAGCGUUAUUCGGAAUUAUUGGGCGUAAAGGGCGCGUAGGCUGGUUAGUAAGUUAAAAGUGAAAUCCCGAGGCUUAACCUUGGAACUGCUUUUAAAACUGCUAACCUAGAGAUUGAAAGAGGAUAGAGGAAUUCCUAGUGUAGAGGUGAAAUUCGUAAAUAUUAGGAGGAACACCAGUGGCGAAGGCGUCUAUCUGGUUUAAAUCUGACGCUGAGGCGCGAAGGCGUGGGGAGCAAACAGGAUCAGAUACCCUGGUAGUCCACGCUGUAAACGAUGAAUGUUAAAUAUGGGAAGUUUACUUUCUGUAUUACAGCUAACGCGUUAAACAUUCCGCCUGGGGACUACGGUCGCAAGAUUAAAACUCAAAGGAAUUGACGGGGACCCGCACAAGCGGUGGAGCAUGUGGUUUAAUUCGAUGCAACGCGAAAAACCUUACCACUCCUUGACAUGAAAAUCAUACCUAUUC
Molecule: ribosomal RNA, 896 nt
Filed under: Wolbachia endosymbiont of Formica cinerea
Lineage: Bacteria; Pseudomonadati; Pseudomonadota; Alphaproteobacteria; Rickettsiales; Anaplasmataceae
Description: bacterial SSU rRNA
Rfam family: Bacterial small subunit ribosomal RNA
Source: RNAcentral